UCAGAUUGAACGCUGGCGGCAGGCCUAACACAUGCAAGUCGAGCGGAUGAAGGGAGCUUGCUCCUGGAUUCAGCGGCGGACGGGUGAGUAAUGCCUAGGAAUCUGCCUGGUAGUGGGGGAUAACGUCCGGAAACGGGCGCUAAUACCGCAUACGUCCUGAGGGAGAAAGYGGGGGAUCUUCGGACCUCACGCUAUCAGAUGAGCCUAGGUCGGAUUAGCUAGUUGGUGGGGUAAAGGCCUACCAAGGCGACGAUCCGUAACUGGUCUGAGAGGAUGAUCAGUCACACUGGAACUGAGACACGGUCCAGACUCCUACGGGAGGCAGCAGUGGGGAAUAUUGGACAAUGGGCGAAAGCCUGAUCCAGCCAUGCCGCGUGUGUGAAGAAGGUCUUCGGAUUGUAAAGCACUUUAAGUUGGGAGGAAGGGCAGUAAGUUAAUACCUUGCUGUUUUGACGUUACCAACAGAAUAAGCACCGGCUAACUUCGUGCCAGCAGCCGCGGUAAUACGAAGGGUGCAAGCGUUAAUCGGAAUUACUGGGCGUAAAGCGCGCGUAGGUGGUUCAGCAAGUUGGAUGUGAAAUCCCCGGGCUCAACCUGGGAACUGCAUCCAAAACUACUGAGYUAGAGUACGGUAGAGGGUGGUGGAAUUUCCUGUGUAGCGGUGAAAUGCGUAGAUAUAGGAAGGAACACCAGUGGGGAAGGCGACCACCUGGACUGAUACUGACAUUGAGGUGGGAAAGCGUGGGGAGCAAACAGGAUUAGAUACCCUGGUAGUCCACGCCGUAAACGAUGUAGACUAGCCGUUGGGAUCCUUGAGAUCUUAGUGGCGCAGCUAACGCGAUAAGUUGACCGCCUGGGGAGUACGGCCGCAAGGUUAAAACUCAAAUGAAUUGACGGGGGCCCGCACAAGCGGUGGAGCAUGUGGUUUAAUUCGAAGCAACGCGAAGAACCUUACCUGGCCUUGACAUGUUGAGAACUUUCCAGAGAUGGAUUGGUGCCUUCGGGAACUCAGACACAGGUGCUGC
Molecule: ribosomal RNA, 1025 nt
Filed under: Pseudomonas aeruginosa
Lineage: Bacteria; Pseudomonadati; Pseudomonadota; Gammaproteobacteria; Pseudomonadales; Pseudomonadaceae
Description: bacterial SSU rRNA
Source: RNAcentral